RNAcentral lists this long non-coding RNA (1270 nucleotides) under Vulpes vulpes (red fox). RNAcentral's name for it is "lncRNA (ENSVVUG00000015833.1)". Lineage: Eukaryota; Metazoa; Chordata; Mammalia; Carnivora; Canidae. The record is from RNAcentral.
AUGUGUCUGUUGGCCACCUGUAUGUCUUUGGAAAAAUGUCUAUUCAGUCCCUUACCCAUUCUUAUAUAUUUUUUUUUAUCACUUCAUAUUUGUAUAGUUCAUGGCUACCACAGAAGCUGGUGGGCAGUAGAUGGUCAAGAAUUGCGUGUUGAUUAUCAUGAGAGAUUCAUCCUAAGAGAAGAUAGAGGAAGAGUAGAGGAGAAAGAAGAAAGAAAUGCUGAUUAUGUUCCAGACACAGUAAGCAACUAUACAAAAUUGCUUUCUAUAACAAUUAUAGUUAUUUUUGCCUCCAUUUUUUAGGUGAUAAACCUGGCCCCAGAAAUUAACUGAUCAAGGCAAAGAGGGGUGGAAUUGAGAUUCAAAACCCAUUUAUUUUGCNAUGUUCCAGACACAGUAAGCAACUAUACAAAAUUGCUUUCUAUAACAAUUAUAGUUAUUUUUGCCUCCAUUUUUUAGGUGAUAAACCUGGCCCCAGAAAUUAACUGAUCAAGGCAAAGAGGGGUGGAAUUGAGAUUCAAAACCCAGGUUUAUUUUGCUCUAAGCACUUAGUGGUUUUUUUUUUGUUUGUUUGUUUGGCAGAAUACUCUUAGUCUCAAAGUCUUAAUCUCUUCUGUGCUCUUUGAGUGGUCAGGCAUUGGGUCCCACUCACUGUGAAUGAGACUGGGGUGACCGGGGUGACCUUUGAGCCCCAAUGUCAUUUUGUGAAUUGCAGCCCCUCCUCUAAACUAGCAGUGUCUUUUCUGGUAACUGGCCAGUCUUAUACUCUUUCAUUCUUGUGUCUUGCUCCUAUAUCCAAGUUUCUCUUCCAGUACCUCACUUAGUGCUCUAAAAGUUCUUUUUUUUUCUUUUUAAAGAUUUUAUUUAUUUAUUCAUGAGAGAAAGAUUGAGAGAGAGAGAGAGAGAGAGGCAGAGAAACAGGCAGAGAGAGAAGCAGGCUCCAUGCAGGAUGUGGGACUCGAUCCCGGGUCUCCAGGAUCACACCCUGGGCCGACAGUGGCUCUAAACCACUAAGCCACUGGGGCUGCCCAUAGUGCUCUAAAAGUUCUAAGGCGAGGUACCCUCCUUCACCAUAUAUUUAGGCAAGAAGUUAUUAAACUGUCAUUUAGCUACAGUGCAUGAUGUGUGUGUGUAUGUUGGGAGGGUGUUUGCAUUAACUGGAGGUGACAUGAUGUCUGAGUUUCUGCUCAGUAGGGUUCUUGUUCAGCUUAGGUUCCCACCAGGAAGUUACUUUACCCAAUAAAGUCACAUACUAUAAAACCUCUCCUUUGCA